RNAcentral lists this ribosomal RNA (105 nucleotides) under uncultured bacterium. Its description in RNAcentral is "partial 16S ribosomal RNA". It matches the Rfam family "Bacterial small subunit ribosomal RNA", at positions 1379 to 1482 of the family's 1533-position model. The record is from RNAcentral.
CCUUGUACACACCGCCCGUCACACCAUGGGAGUGGGUUGCACCAGAAGUAGCUAGUCUAACCUUCGGGGGGACGGUUACCACGGUGUGAUUCAUGACUGGGGGUG